GAUGAACGCUGGCGGCGUGCCUAAUACAUGCAAGUCGAGCGAACAGAUGAGGAGCUUGCUCCUCUGACGUUAGCGGCGGACGGGUGAGUAACACGUGGAUAACCUACCUAUAAGACUGGGAUAACUUCGGGAAACCGGAGCUAAUACCGGAUAAUAUAUUGAACCGCAUGGUUCAAUAGUGAAAGACGGUUUUGCUGUCACUUAUAGAUGGAUCCGCGCCGCAUUAGCUAGUUGGUAAGGUAACGGCUUACCAAGGCAACGAUGCGUAGCCGACCUGAGAGGGUGAUCGGCCACACGGGAACUGAGACACGGUCCAGACUCCUACGGGAGGCAGCAGUAGGGAAUCUUCCGCAGUGGGCGAAAGCCUGACGGAGCAACGCCGCGUGAGUGAUGAAGGUCUUCGGAUCGUAAAACUCUGUUAUGAGGGAAGAACAAAUGUGUAAGUAACUAUGCACGUCUUGACGGUACCUAAUCAGAAAGCCACGGCUAACUACGUG
Molecule: ribosomal RNA, 497 nt
Filed under: uncultured bacterium
Lineage: Bacteria
Description: partial 16S ribosomal RNA
Rfam family: Bacterial small subunit ribosomal RNA
Source: RNAcentral